UUACGGUCAUAUCACGUUGAAACAUCAGUUCCCGUACGAUCAACGAAGUUAAGUAACGUCGAGUCAGGUCAGUACCGAGAUGGGUGACCGUUUGGAAAUGCCAGGUGCUAUA
Acanthosepion pharaonis is the source of this 112-nucleotide non-coding RNA. The record is from the annotation of a GenBank genome assembly. Lineage: Eukaryota; Metazoa; Mollusca; Cephalopoda; Sepiida; Sepiidae.